AGGACGAACGCUAGCGGCGUGUUUGAAACAUGCAAGUCGAACGGGAGGAGUAAUCCUCCAGUGGCGAACGGGUGCGUAACACGUAAAGAACCUAUCCAGGAGCGGGGGAUAGCCUCUAGAAAUGGGGGGGUAAUACCGCAUAAGCUACAAAGCAGGCAUCUGGUUUGUAGGAAAGGGAUACUUCGGUAUUUCACUGAUGGAGGGCUUUGGCGGCCUAUCAGGUAGUUGGUGGGUAACGCCUACCAAGCCAAAGACGGGUAGCUGGUCUGAGAGGACGAUCAGCCACACUGGGACUGAGAUACGGCCCAGACUCCUACGGGGGGCAGCAGUUUAGAAUAUUGUGCAAUGGGCGAAAGCCUGACACAGCGACGCCGCGUGGGUGAUGAAGGCCUUAGGGUCGUAAAGCCCUGUUGGUAGGGAAGAGCGAAGGACGGUACCUACCGGAGGAACGCCCCGGGCUAACUACGCGCCAGCAGCCGC
RNAcentral lists this ribosomal RNA (480 nucleotides) under uncultured bacterium. Its description in RNAcentral is "SSU rRNA". It matches the Rfam family "Bacterial small subunit ribosomal RNA", at positions 26 to 518 of the family's 1533-position model. The record is from RNAcentral.